AGUCGGCCAGACCGCCGCUGGUGCAAUCGCUGAAAGGCGGCACUGGAGGAAGGUCCGGACUGCACAGGGCAGCGUAGGAGGUAACACCUCUCCACCGCGAGGUGAGGAUCAGAGCAACAGAGACGAGUCUCUGUGGCCUUGGGCGGGGCGAAAGCCGCGCCAAAGGCCUUUCGAAAGAAAGGCCGGGGGCACAGAGGGUGAAACGGGCAAUCUCUACGCGCAGCAACACCAAAUAGGCACACAUUGAUCGGCAUGGCUUGCCAUGUCGUUCUACCCCUGGCCCGGGGGCCGUGUGCGGGUAGGUGGCAUCGAGCCGUUCUGGCGACAGGCGGCCCAGAGGAAUGGCGGUCACGGCGCAGUGUCGCGAGACGCGGCGCCGCACAGAAUCCGGCCUAUCGGCUGACUUCA
Molecule: RNase P RNA, 408 nt
Filed under: uncultured Aquabacterium sp.
Lineage: Bacteria; Pseudomonadati; Pseudomonadota; Betaproteobacteria; Burkholderiales; Sphaerotilaceae
Description: Bacterial RNase P class A
Rfam family: Bacterial RNase P class A
About the family: Ribonuclease P (RNase P) is a ubiquitous endoribonuclease, found in archaea, bacteria and eukarya as well as chloroplasts and mitochondria. Its best characterised activity is the generation of mature 5'-ends of tRNAs by cleaving the 5'-leader elements of precursor-tRNAs. Cellular RNase Ps are ribonucleoproteins.
Source: RNAcentral